CCAGUCACGAUACGUCUAUACCUAGGCACACAGAGGCGAAGAAGGACGUGGUUACCGACGAAAAGCAUCGGGGAGUUGGCAGCAAGCAGUGAUCCGAUGGUAUCCGAAUGGGGGAACCCAAAUACUAUUAUCUAAAUACAUAGGGUAAUAGGGCGAACGCAGCGAACUGAAACAUCUUAGUAGCUGUAGGAAGAGAAAACAAACGUGAUUUCCGGAGUAGCGGCGAGCGAAAGGGAAAGAGCCUAAACCAAGAUGCAAGCAUUUUGGGGUAGAGGGACGUCAAUAAGUAGAAGUAGAACCAGACGAAGCAGUUGAAAGCUGCACCAGAGGGGGUGAGAGUCCUGUAGUCGAAGGGGAAGCGGAAGCGGACGAAUCCCGAGUAGGUUGGGGCAGGUGAAAUCCCGACUGAAUCAGCGAGGACCACCUCGUAAGGCUAAAUACUCCUGUGUGACCGAUAGAGAAACAGUACCGCGAGGGAAAGGUGAAAAGAACCCCGAGAGGGGAGUGAAAUAGAACAUGAAACCAUCAGCUUACAAGCAAUGGGAGGUCGAUUAUAACGACUGACCGUGUGCCUGUUGAAGAAUGAGCCGGCGACUUAUAGGCACUGGCGGGUUAAGACGGGAAUGUCGAAGCCAAAGCGAAAGCGAGUCUGAAUAGGGCGAAUUAGUCAGUGAGUAUAGGCCCGAACCCGGGUGAUCUAACCAUGGGCAGGAUGAAGCUUGGGUAACACCAAGUGGAGGUCCGAACCGACCGAUGUUGAAAAAUCGGCGGAUGACCUGUGGUUAGGGGUGAAAUGCCAAUCGAACCCGGAGCUAGCUGGUUCUCCCCGAAAUGUGUUGAGGCGCAGCGGUAGUGGAUGUAUAUGGGGGGUAAAGCACUGUUUCGGUGCGGGCUGCGAGAGCGGUACCAAAUCGAGGCAAACUCAGAAUACCCAUAUAAAAACUACUAGUGAGACAGUGGGGGAUAAGCUCCAUUGUCAAGAGGGAAACAGCCCAGACCACCAGCUAAGGUCCCCAAAUCAGGAUUAAGUGAUAAAGGAGGUGGGAGUGCAAAGACAACCAGGAGGUUUGCCUAGAAGCAGCCAUCCUUAAAAGAGUGCGUAAUAGCUCACUGGUCAAGCGCUCCUGCGCCGAAAAUGAAUGGGGCUAAAUUCUGUACCGAAGCUGUGGGAUUAGAAAUAAUCGGUAGGGGAGCGUUCCGUUGUAGAGAGAAGUACUAGCGGUAAGCAGGUAUGGACGAAACGGAAGUGAGAAUGUCGGCUUGAGUAGCGCAAACAUUGGUGGGAAUCCAAUGCCCCGAAAUUCCAAGGGUUCCUCCGCAAGGCUCGUCCACGGAGGGUUAGUCGGGACCUAAGGCGAGGCUGAAAAGCGUAGUCGAUGGACAACAGGUUUAUAAUCCUGUACUGAUUAAAGAUAGUGAAGAGGGACGGAGAAGGCUAACACAGCCGGAUAAUGGAUACCGGUGUAAGUAUCCGAGGUGAAGAGGGAUGGAGAGAACAUCCUGAGCUGAGGUAUGAGUCGGAGGAUUUACGAAUCCGAAGUGUGUGAUGUCAGGCUUCCAAGAAAAGCUCUAACCACGAUAAUUUUUAAUUACCCGUACUCUAAACCGACACAGGUGGAAAGGUAGAGAAUACCAAGGGGCGCGAGAUAACUCUCUCUAAGGAACUCGGCAAAAUGACCCCGUAACUUCGGGAGAAGGGGUGCCUGCGAGAGCAGGUUGCAGUGAAGAGGCCCAGGCGACUGUUUACCAAAAACACAGGUCUCCGCAAAGUCGUAAGACGAAGUAUGGGGGCUGACGCCUGCCCAGUGCCGGAAGGUUAAGGAAGUUGGUCAGCGGUAACGUGCAGCUAGCGACCGAAGCCCCGGUGAACGGCGGCCGUAACUAUAACGGUCCUAAGGUAGCGAAAUUCCUUGUCGGGUAAGUUCCGACCCGCACGAAAGGCGUAACGAUCUGGAUGGUGUCUCAGAGAGAGACUCGGCGAAAUAGGAAUGUCUGUGAAGAUACGGACUACCUGCACCUGGACAGAAAGACCCUAUGAAGCUUUACUGUAGCCUGGAAUUGGGUUCGGGCUUUGCUUGCGCAGGAUAGGUGGGAGACAAAGAAUACAUUCUUGUGGGAAUGUAGGAGUCGACGGUGAGAUACCACUCUGGUGAGGCUAGAAUUCUAACUUUAUCCCGUUAUCCGGGAAAAGAACAGUUUCAGGUGGGCAGUUUGACUGGGGCGGUCGCCUCCUAAAAGGUAACGGAGGCGCGCAAAGGUUCUCUCAGGCUGGUUGGAAAUCAGCCGUAGAGUGUAAAGGCAAAAGAGAGCUUGACUGCAAGACUUACAAGUCGAGCAGGGACGAAAGUCGGCCUUAGUGAUCCGACGGCACUGAGUGGAAGGGCCGUCGCUCAACGGAUAAAAGUUACUCUAGGGAUAACAGGCUGAUCUCCCCCAAGAGUUCACAUCGACGGGGAGGUUUGGCACCUCGAUGUCGGCUCAUCGCAACCUGGUGCGGAAGUACGUGCCAAGGGUUGGGCUGUUCGCCCAUUAAAGCGGUACGUGAGCUGGGUUCAGAACGUCGUGAGACAGUUCGGUCCAUAUCCGGUGCAGGCGUUGGAACAUUGAAAGGAGUCCUCCUUAGUACGAGAGGACCGGGAGGAACGCACCGCUGGUGUACCUGUUAUCGUGCCAACGGUAAACGCAGGGUAGCUACGUGCGGAGUGGAUAACCGCUCUGUAUCGUGACUGGGAAAC
RNAcentral lists this ribosomal RNA (2735 nucleotides) under freshwater metagenome. Its description in RNAcentral is "bacterial LSU rRNA". It matches the Rfam family "Bacterial large subunit ribosomal RNA". The record is from RNAcentral.